RNAcentral lists this long non-coding RNA (250 nucleotides) under Elaeis guineensis (African oil palm). RNAcentral's name for it is "long non-coding RNA (EGUI_LNC052840)". The record is from RNAcentral. Lineage: Eukaryota; Viridiplantae; Streptophyta; Magnoliopsida; Arecales; Arecaceae.
CCUAGUAAGAUGAAAGUAUGAAUUCCUAGGUGUAGUUAUCGUAUGAUUCAUUCCUUCUAUCAUGAGUCAUGACUUGAUGGAGGUCAUGGAGAGCUCAUCAGACUCCAUCAUCAGUCAUAUGCUAGAUUGGCUCAACUUGAGUUUAUUUGUGAAUCUUGUGAAAACUCUUUUUCAGUAUUCACACUUGCUUUGGUCAAAGACUUUCUGAACUCAGUCUCACAAAUUGCAUAGGACUUCUCCUUUUCUACCA